RNAcentral lists this small RNA (668 nucleotides) under Pan troglodytes (chimpanzee). RNAcentral's name for it is "processed transcript". The record is from RNAcentral. Lineage: Eukaryota; Metazoa; Chordata; Mammalia; Primates; Hominidae.
GUCUUCUUUUACAGCACACCCGUUGGUGCGCGGGAAUAGGUGUGCAUGCCCCGGCCUGGGCCUUUUUCUGUUAACCCACGGCAUCACCUUAGCAAGGGUGUUGUCCUUUUCAGUCCAUUCCCUGAAGCGCAGAACCGGAGGCCUUGUGGGAACCUGGCUUUUUGUCCAGUCCUGUCCUCAGAACUCAAGGAGGCAUCACGGGGGGAGUCAUUUACCUCCCUGGCCUCAGGUGUCUCUCACAGGUAGGAUAAGCCGUGGGGCCUAUUAGUGGAUCGCACCCGGUGUCGUGCAUAAAAACAGCCCCUCGAGUCAGCCUUAGCUGUGGUCUCCCUCACGCUGGGGGCUCUUGGGCGAGUAUAAAUGAGCUGUGGCUACGCCUUAGAGUCUUCCAGCGUACAGUGGAACAGUACCUCUCUUUCGGAGUGCUUUGAAAAUUGCAAGGAAAAUACAUUUUCUGGUUUGCUUACACUCCUGAUCAUGUAGUUGGACCUGGAGCAGACAUUGAUCCCACUCAAAUAACCUUUCCCGGAUGCAUUUGUGUCAAAACUCCCUGCCUCCCUGGCACUUGCUCCUGUCUCCGCCAUGGAGAGAACUAUGAUGAUAACUCAUGCCUUAGAGAUAUAGGAUCUGGAGGAAAGUAUGCAGAGCCUGUUUUUGAAUGCAAUGUG